This 281-nucleotide long non-coding RNA is filed under the name Parus major (Great Tit). RNAcentral's name for it is "lncRNA (ENSPMJG00000005610.1)". The record is from RNAcentral. Lineage: Eukaryota; Metazoa; Chordata; Aves; Passeriformes; Paridae.
AUGGAAAGAAUUGGCAUUUUGCUCACAUUAUCUGCUUUCAUAACCAUUCAUUUUCAAGUGAAGGCCAAGAGCUUUUCUAAAAAUGUCAUAAAUGGCAAAUCCAAGGAAAGGGGCAACUUUAGCAGAUAUUCAGCAAGAGCAUCAGUGCUCAGAAGGACAAAGAGAGAGCUGUGAGCUCUGCACAAUGUGCUCCUUGUACAGCAGAGACAGAUUCCUUCAAAGUCAGUUAAAUUGCUAGCAACAUCUAACACAGGAAAAGGAAAAGAAGAAAAAGAAAAAUA